AGUGUGAUGCCAGGGAAUCAAUCUGUAUGCCAGGGUCAGGAUCAGGAUCAGGUCCAUUGAGAAUAACCGGCAUCAGAAACAGCCAGUGAUCACCAAGAAGGACCACAGUGUGUCUAAAUGUGACAGAAGUUCUCCAAGACUGACCCUGAAAUGUACCUGGCUCCUUCACAGAAGAGAGGAGGGAAAAAUAAUCAGAUGUUUUCACCACAAAAUGGAGAAGUUAUCUUUAACUUUCCUCAAAAAAUGUUAUUCUUAUUUGACAACAUAUCAAGUCAUUUGAGCCUGCUGGAUAUAAUCAGAUUUAUUGUUACCCUUGACCUCUGAGAGCUCCUAAAAAUUAUCUUGAGCAGUGUUACAUACGAACUAAAACCAGAAAUACUGGGUAAACCAGUUAUGCUGAUCCAAAUGAGCCACAUGAUGAAUCCUGGCAAUGUCCUACCUCACAAGACAGCAGAACCAAUUGUACAUAUGAAGAUUUUUUUUUUCACCAUCCUGUACUUGAGAGAAAGCAUAAAAAAAAAGAAACUAAAGGAAGAUUAAGGAAGUCAGAGAUGCUAAAAGGAUACAGAUCAAGUAUCUCCCUUUGGCCCAAACUUUAAAACUCCAAGGGUACAGAAAGUAAUAUACUGUCACUAUUAUGGAGCCUGCAAUGAAGAGGCAUCCUCAGUGUUACAUUUAUGAGACGUUAUCUUUGUAUGAAGCCUACAAACAAGUACCUUUACAAUAGCCAGGAUUAAAGCUAAAGG
Empidonax traillii (willow flycatcher) is the source of this 746-nucleotide long non-coding RNA. RefSeq lists it as uncharacterized. Lineage: Eukaryota; Metazoa; Chordata; Aves; Passeriformes; Tyrannidae. The record is from RefSeq and is a predicted model, not a curated record. The transcript has 5 exons.